This 448-nucleotide ribosomal RNA is filed under the name uncultured bacterium. RNAcentral's name for it is "bacterial SSU rRNA". It matches the Rfam family "Bacterial small subunit ribosomal RNA", at positions 331 to 793 of the family's 1533-position model. The record is from RNAcentral.
CCAGACUCCUACGGGAGGCAGCAGUGGGGAAUAUUGCACAAUGGGCGAAAGCCUGAUGCAGCAACGCCGCGUGAAGGAAGAAGGGUUUCGGCUCGUAAACUUCUAUCAACAGGGACGAAAGAAAUGACGGUACCUGAAUAAGAAGCCCCGGCUAACUACGUGCCAGCAGCCGCGGUAAUACGUAGGGGGCAAGCGUUAUCCGGAUUUACUGGGUGUAAAGGGAGCGUAGACGGCGGCGCAAGCCAGAUGUGAAAGCCCGGGGCUCAACUCCGGGACUGCAUUUGGAACUGUGUGGCUGGAGUGUCGGAGAGGCAGGCGGAAUUCCUAGUGUAGCGGUGAAAUGCGUAGAUAUUAGGAGGAACACCAGUGGCGAAGGCGGCCUGCUGGACGAUGACUGACGUUGAGGCUCGAAAGCGUGGGGAGCAAACAGGAUUAGAUACCCCCGUAC